Molecule: unclassified non-coding RNA, 691 nt
Filed under: Melitaea cinxia (Glanville fritillary)
Lineage: Eukaryota; Metazoa; Arthropoda; Insecta; Lepidoptera; Nymphalidae
Description: misc RNA ENSMCXG00005021648.1
Source: RNAcentral
GGAAUAGAAAGGUUUCUACGAAGUUACAACAAAAUGUAGUGUCCACGAGCAGAGAUAUAGACAUUUGAAGAAGUAGUAUAUAGGCAUUGUCUUAGAGAAAAAAAAAUAAAAAAAAAAUAGAAAGGAUUGAGUAUCCCUUUUGAAAUUUUUAUCAUCGUUUCUAGAUAGUAAUAUAAAGGUUUCUACAAAGUUACAACAAAAUGUAGUGUCCACGAGCAGAGAUAUAGACAUUUGAAAAAGUAGUAUAUAGGCAUUGUCUUAGAGAAAAAAAAAUAAAAAAAAUAGAAGGGAUUGAGUAUCCCUUUUGAAAUUUUUAUCAUCGUUUCUAGACAGGAAUAGAAAGGUUUCUACGAAGUUACAACAAAAUGUAGUGUCCACGAGCAGAGAUAUAGACAUUUAAAGAAGUAGUAUAUAGGCAUUGUCUUAGCGAAAAAAAAAAAAAAAAUAGAAGGGAUUGAGUAUCCCUUUUGAAAUUUUUAUCAUCGUUUCUAGACAGUAAUAGAAAGGUUUCUACGAAGUUACAACAAAAUGUAGUGUCCACGAGCAGAGAUAUAGACAUUUGAAAAAGUAGUAUAUAGGCAUUGUCUUAGAAAAAAAAAAAAAAAUAAAAAAAAAUUAGAAGGGAUUGAGUAUCCCUUUUGAAAUUUUUAUCAUCGUUUCUAGACAGUAAUAGAAAGGUUUCUACGAAGUU